Eucalyptus grandis is the source of this 4312-nucleotide RNA transcript. RefSeq lists it as uncharacterized. The transcript is spliced from 7 exons. NCBI's taxonomy places the organism in Eukaryota, Viridiplantae, Streptophyta, Magnoliopsida, Myrtales, Myrtaceae. The record is from RefSeq and is a predicted model, not a curated record.
GCUUGCAAGAUUGUCAAAUGAGCGCUGAGGAACAAAGUCAAAUAGUAAUAAAGAGAAAUCAUGAGCUUUUCUCCCACGAGGCAUGCGAACCCAGACCAUGUGAACUUCUAAUUCGAUUGGCAGAGAUGAGUAUGGCUGUAUUUGGUCGCUGCCUUUGUUGUUUGAAUGAUCGAGAACCUAGCUGAGGAAGCAAUUCGUAGGCAAAGUUCGAACUCCACCGACGCUACUUUCCGCAUCACGACUGCUCAUCUUCCACUAGACACGAGCGGACAGAAGAAGUCCGUUUUCCUGAAACGGAGUCCCUAGCGAACCGAUGGCGAUGGAGACCAGCGAUUUGAGGCGACAGACUACAACUGCUGACCGAAGCAAUGGAAGAUGAUGUAGCUUCGGGUGAAGGAUCUCUCUGCUGAGGUUCCGGGCUCGUGCGGAUUGCUAUAGAUCAGGUGAAGUCUAGGUUCAAAGGAAAAAACAAGCAAUGAAGGGUGACCAGUGGGAAGGAGGGUGUGCAUGGGUUGGUUCAGUCCCCUUUUCAGGCAAAAAAUUGAGUGAAUCCGGGUGCUAUAGAUGUGGAACCAGGCGGACAACCAGCCACACUGUGGGGAGAGAGAGAGAGUAGUAUGUACCUAUCAUGAAGAUGUGCAGCUGGUGACAUAGGUUGGCCCAGACGAUUGAAUUUUGGUAUAGGACCCUAUUGCUAAGUUCUAUGAGGCACUUGAAGAGUUAAAAAAAUAGUAUUAUGAAGAAGAUGCAGUGAAAUGGCUAGCCACCACAGAAGGUGUGCAUGCAUGAAAGAACUUUCUCUGAACAAGUAACAAGCCCUAUUUGCCUUCCUUGUAUAAGGCAAAGCUUGCUCUGGACAGCCUUGAAGUUCCAGUUGGCCAACAGGACUUGCAGAGAUGAACGCUCUUGCAGAGGACAGGAUUUUAGGUUGCAGAAGUUGCAGAAAAGUUUUCGGCAUGCUCCCUUUAUGUGACAUGCGAACCAUGGAUUAUGUAUGGAGCAGCAUCAUCGAUCAUUGGUACAUCUGUUGAUCAUGCUGAAAUAAAACUAAACUUUCCUAAAAUUUGUUUGCAUAUAAAUGAUUAGAUGACACUUGGCCACUUUUAGGUAAAGAAGUAUAUUAUGGCCGUGCAAAUGAUUGAUUUGGAAGCUGUGGCUCGAUACUGUGUUGCAUUCAAGUAUUCCUGAGGCAUGCAUUAGGGCAGGUUCUGAACUUGCUUUUGUUGCUGAUGUUGUAUCUACUUAGCUCCACUUUAGAAAUUGUGACAUGUGACAAUUGACAACUCAAGCUUACUGGAGGUUUUUUAUUCCUUAUCUUGAUUACUGAUGGAUGUGGUAUCGCAGUGAUUCUGUUUGCAGUCGCACCUUGAAUAUUGCAACACAUAACCAUGGAAAUAGAAAAAGUUUAUGGAACUAAAUUUCAUCUUUUCUGUCCUUUUCCUAGUCUAAAUGGAAAAAAGUGAAGUUUCCCAAAGCCUCUAGAAGUCGAGUUUAUAUCAAUUCUUUCUGUCCUCACUUUAUUUCCUUUUUCUUAAAUUCCUCAUGACUGGUUAAACAUUUUCCUUUUUUUUUUUUUAAAUUUCCACUAAGAGUUCUCGGAAGUGCUACAAGUUAAGCUAACAUUAGUUUGUUUUUUCCUUUUCCUUUUGCCCCCUGUUUCUUCAUCUCUUCUUCCUCACUUGCUUUCACUGCAGUGAGAUUCUUUGAUGUCUUAAUGUUAUCAAGUUUAAAUCAGGAAAUAUAGUAUCUUCAAAGAAAUAUGAUUUUGUAACUAUGAGCAAAUUGUGCUUUCUGAUAUGCUGUGGGCAAUGUACUUGAUCUUCUUGCAUACAUCAGGGCAAGUGCUAGCUAAACUGUGGCAUAUGGCUUGUGUUUCCAGUAUGAUUUAUUAUCUGUCUGAUGCUGCCAUAACCUAACAUUUCAUGUUUGCUAAGCUUGGGCAGAACUCAUCAAUUUUUUAUUCAGACUUUGUUGACAUAAAACUUAAAACGUACUGAAAUAGGAUCUGUUUCAAUGUAGCUCAUGAAGUAGCUAAUUUAGAUUACGAAAUUGUCUCUUUGUUGAAGUAUUAGUUUUGAAAGAAGAAGCUCAAGUACAAGGGGUAAGAAGCAUGAGGAUGCACCAAGGGAUGCAUCAAAACAAAAAAGUUCAGCCAAAAAAAAAAAAAAAAACAUGAAAGCUCUGACUUUAAGAGCUUGAAAUACAUGGUUAUGCUGCUGUAAAUAAUGUGAUUAUGAGUCAAAAGUAUUGUGGGAAACAUGACGUAGCUCUUUACCUUUCUGAAUACAACAUUAAGCAAGGGGACUCAUCUUGCAGAUAAAGGACCACUUGCUCAAUUUCCUCUCUCUGGAGCUCAUAAACUAGCCCAAGGUACUGCAUAAUUUCAUGAUAGAGAGAACAAGACUGUUAUAAUGUUGAGCACGGUUCCUGUGCGAUGUUUGGAAGAUGUAGCUGAUUGAAACCCCUCCUAGCCAGUACUAGUACAAGAGCCAUCCAUAAAUCUUCUCUCAAUCAUAUCACUGUUGCAAGAUGUAUCUGAAGAGAAGUUGCCCAUCCAAAUUAAAAGCCUCUAAGCAUCACUCUGUUUACAGCAUGUUGUUUGUUCUCCAAGGACAUUAGGUUCCAUGCUGAAGAAAAAAUAUAGAACAACCCAAAGGCAUCAUGAAAGUAGAAAAUUUUUAGCAAUAGAUACCCCAAGCAUACACUCUUUUAUAUUUGAUGCAAGAAUUUUGCCAAGGUCAGUGCCUAGUUACUGUCAAGUUAAUCAAUUGGUACAGUUCAGCAUGAAAACCUAUUAUCUGAAGUACAGACAUUUCUUAGAAUUGCUAUUCUCAAGACAGAUAUGUAAACCUCCUAACUAAACAUAUUCUCCCACUAGCGAACUUGAUUUUGUUUAAAAAGUAACUUCUUUUGCAAAUUGCUCUGUCAAUUAGUCUGAUAUAUUAUCUCUAGCAUGAUAUUUGGACACGUCUUGCAAAUGGAAUUUGUCUUGGGAUUUCAAGCUGAUGAGCUAGGUAAAAUUGCAGAAUCAUCGGAAAUAUUGGCUGGUUUCCACAAAAUCAUCAGGUUUCAAGUGUCUGCCUGAAAUAUGAAUGUUUCCAACCUUUUUCUUGUUUCUCUUGCCAUAAUGGGAAUUAUGGAUCAAAGGAUUUCAAAUGUUGGAGAUAGGAUAGUGUAAGAAGCAAUAUCUCUUCUGUGAAAUUAUAAUGAACAAGGAAACCCUAAUGGUAUGAACAGUGAUCAACCACCAGUUGAACUGUCUACUCGAAAUUUUUUUAUAAUACUACAGUUAGCACCUAUUUACAUCAGAUAACCUAAGGAAAAUGAUAGUUCUUUUUCAAUGAACCUGUAGUUAAGUACACAUUUUAACAGGUUUCACGAGCAUAAUAGAGUAACUCUACUUUUUGAACCAGAGUUUACUUUAUCAAUCAAUGAAGUAGAGCAUUGCGACUGCUAGCUAUAUCUCCCUGAAAGACCCUCUCGGAGCACACAUCCAUUUCGAUAUUGUUUAAGAACAAUUUAGGAAGUCUCUUUCUAUUUCUACCUUUUGAUCAAUUCUCCCAACCAGCUAGAGAAAGAAUUGUAGCUGGGGCUUUUCUUGAUUGCAGAUCUUGCUAAACUACUCUCUCUCUCUCUCUCUCUCUCUCUCUCUCUCUCUAGUCACGCUUGGACUUGUUUAUAUCUAAAUCGUUUGCUGCAGUAAAGAUAUGUUGUAUCUAUACUCUGCAGAUUAUCUGCACAUCCCAAGUCAAUAAACCUGGCCCAGUUGAAUGUUUUGUAAUAACAAAGUGUUGAUGAAAUUCCAAGCUUUGAACUAGCGGGCUGUCGGUUGGAUAGAAACCCAUUCAGAAGUUUUCUCCAUCAAGGAUAAGGUGCUUAUCUUGAGAUGCUUCAAAGCCUCACAGGUCGUGGGUUCAUCAGGCUUCUCAUUCGAUCUGCAUGCGUUGAUUCUUCCUGUCGAAUCCUCUCAUGCCUUUGCACAACUAGAAUUUCAUCAAGAACCUGAGAAAGGAGGCAUUGUGCAUGAGCAGAUCAGUUUUUGCCUGGAUGUUCAUGUGAUUGCGGAGGACUGCAGCUGUGAUCAAAGUCCAUUUCAUGCUUUAUCUUGUUUAUCAGAUGUUUGAGAUAAUUUACGGCAUAAUCUUGUGUAGGCAUCAUUUUUCUGAUGCUAAGUUUUUGUCAUCACACAUAUUCUAUGAUCUAACUUGAUUUUUUUAGUUUUUCAAACUUUGAGGUAAUUCCAGGCGUGCUAUUAAUGUGUUUGAGCUUCAUAGUUCUGAACUAUUUUAUGGGCUAUCACCAAUGAUGAUUA